This 274-nucleotide ribosomal RNA is filed under the name uncultured bacterium. RNAcentral describes it as "partial 16S ribosomal RNA". It matches the Rfam family "Bacterial small subunit ribosomal RNA", at positions 523 to 796 of the family's 1533-position model. The record is from RNAcentral.
ACACGGAGGGUGCGAGCGUUGUUCGGAAUCACUGGGCGUAAAGCGGGUGUAGGCGGUCUAGCAAGUCAGAUGUGAAAGUCCAGGGCUCAACCCUGGAAGUGCAUCUGAAACUGUUAGACUUGAGUACUGGAGAGGGAAGUGGAAUUCCUGGUGUAGGGGUGAAAUCCGUAGAUAUCAGGAGGAACACCGGUGGCGAAGGCGACUUCCUGGACAGAUACUGACGCUCAGACCCGAAAGCGUGGGGAGCAAACAGGAUUAGAAACCCUAGUAGUCC